RNAcentral lists this ribosomal RNA (497 nucleotides) under uncultured bacterium. RNAcentral's name for it is "partial 16S ribosomal RNA". It matches the Rfam family "Bacterial small subunit ribosomal RNA", at positions 28 to 507 of the family's 1533-position model. The record is from RNAcentral.
GACGAACGCUGGCGGCGUGCCUAAUACAUGCAAGUAGAACGCUGAAGAGAGGAGCUUGCUCUUCUUGGAUGAGUUGCGAACGGGUGAGUAACGCGUAGGUAACCUGCCUUGUAGCGGGGGAUAACUAUUGGAAACGAUAGCUAAUACCGCAUAACAAUGGAUGACACAUGUCAUUUAUUUGAAAGGGGCAAUUGCUCCACUACAAGAUGGACCUGCGUUGUAUUAGCUAGUAGGUGAGGCAAUGGCUCACCUAGGCGGCGAUACAUAGCCGACCUGAGAGGGUGAUCGGCCACACUGGGACUGAGACACGGCCCAGACUCCUACGGGAGGCAGCAGUAGGGAAUCUUCGGCAAUGGGGGCAACCCUGACCGAGCAACGCCGCGUGAGUGAAGAAGGUUUUCGGAUCGUAAAGCUCUGUUGUAAGUCAAGAACGGGUGUGAGAGUGGAAAGUUCACACUGUGACGGUAGCUUACCAGAAAGGGACGGCUAACUACGUG